Molecule: ribosomal RNA, 253 nt
Filed under: uncultured soil bacterium
Lineage: Bacteria
Description: partial 16S ribosomal RNA
Rfam family: Bacterial small subunit ribosomal RNA
Source: RNAcentral
AGAUUGAACGCUGGCGGCAUGCCUAACACAUGCAAGUCGAACGGGAGUAGCAAUACUCUAGUGGCGGACGGGUGAGGAAUACGUAGGAAUUUGCCCUUAAGUGGGGGAUAACCCGGGGAACCCGGAUUAAUACCGCAUGACCUCGAAAGAGCAAAGUGGGGGAUCGCAAGACCUCACGCUUUUGGAGAAGCCUACGUCGGAUUAGCUAGUUGGUGAGGUAAUGGCUCACCAAGGCGACGAUCCGUAACUGGUC